This is an RNA transcript of Dipodomys spectabilis (banner-tailed kangaroo rat), 1302 nucleotides long. It is a transcript of the gene named dynein light chain Tctex-type 4, with no coding region annotated. Lineage: Eukaryota; Metazoa; Chordata; Mammalia; Rodentia; Heteromyidae. The transcript is spliced from 4 exons. The record is from RefSeq and is a predicted model, not a curated record.
CGGGCCAGAGGGAGGAACUUUGGGAGGGAGGUGUCCUUGCCAUGGCAGCCAUGGCAACUGCACAACACAACCCUUCCCCGCCCACCCUGCAGUCAGGUCGGGCUGGGCCAGCCAGGUGAGAACUCAGAAGCCAAAGGCUACAGGUGACUCAGGUGCCUGAAGGAGUUUCGGGAGAAGAGAACAGCCAUCCCACAAGUUGAUUCUGUAGGUGGAGUCAGAAGCCAGAGCUGAGAGUGGAAGGUGCCCCAGAGGUCAUCUGGCCCCAGCUUCAGCCUGCUGCAGGAACCUUCUGAGUGCCUACCCAAAGCAGCAGGCAAGUCCAUGGCUGGCAGGUGUCUGUCUCCUGGACACCAGGAAGAAGAGAGUGCCAAAGACCCAGUGCCAAAACUACCAUCAGUGCGGCCAAGAAGCCGCCUGCCCAGCAUUGAUGAGACCAGACAAACGGGUGUAGGCCCUGCCUCCCGCCGUGGUUCAGUGCUGGGCCUAACCAUGUCCCUCUCACACCGAAACUCGCUGGCUGGAUCAGGAACUGGUCAUGGAGGUCGGCGACAGUCCUUGGGCCCAGUGCCCCCUCUUGGCUGGCGGGUCAGUUUCUCAGGCCUGCCCCUAGGGCCUGUCCGUCGAGUGGCACCUUCAUACCGUAUGGAGCCUGCACCAGGGGAGCGCUGGGAGACUGCACGUGCACAGCGUGUCCUGGAGGCAGUGUUGGAUAAGAGGCUAUGCAACACCAGCUACUGUGGCUUCGAGGCCGGGCAGCUGGCACGGGAGCUGUGUGAGCAGGUGCGCCUGUGCCUGCGCGAGCUCAGCCCACCUCGUUACAAGCUGGUGUGCAGCGUGGUGCUGGGGCCACGUGCAGGCCAGGGCGUGCACGUGGUCAGUCGUGCUCUGUGGGAUGCAGCGCAUGAUGGGCUGGCCUCUGCUACCUUUACGAAUGCCUCACUCUUCGCGGUGGCCACAGUCCACGGGCUGUACUGUGAGUAAGCAGACCUCCCUCCAAAUUCUGUAAAAUGGUUUAUUAUCCCCGGAGGAAGCCCCCCAGGGGCUCACAUCCCAAUAAAUAAAUGUUUGUCAAUAAAUAAAAGUGGUCCAUAAAUAAUACCCCCUAGCUGGGGGCUAAGGCUCAGGCUUAACUCAGAGAAGGGGUAAGAAAGGACAGGCUGCCCCUAACUCCAGUAAAGCUGGUCCCUGAUUCCCUGGGGGGAUUCAUCCAGGAGCCCCCAGUGAGGCACCAAAGGGACAGGGAGGGCCACAAAGGCAAGGGCCAGAGUCUUGCAGGCACAGGCCUCACAGGCCUCAGGUUUG